Long non-coding RNA from Populus euphratica (Euphrates poplar), 150 nucleotides. RefSeq lists it as uncharacterized. The transcript has 3 exons. Lineage: Eukaryota; Viridiplantae; Streptophyta; Magnoliopsida; Malpighiales; Salicaceae. The record is from RefSeq and is a predicted model, not a curated record.
UAUUUAGAUGGUUGUAUUGGUUUCCCUAACGAAUCUAGUUAGGUCUCAGUUUUCUGUUUGGUGGCUACCCUAUAGCUAUCUGUUGUUUUAUGUUUCUAUUCUCAUUGUAAAUCUAGGGUAUGCCCUUUAUAAUGUUUGUAUUUUCUUCUU